RNAcentral lists this ribosomal RNA (466 nucleotides) under uncultured bacterium. Its description in RNAcentral is "bacterial SSU rRNA". It matches the Rfam family "Bacterial small subunit ribosomal RNA", at positions 29 to 508 of the family's 1533-position model. The record is from RNAcentral.
AAUGAACGUUGGCGGCGUGGAUUAGGCAUGCAAGUCGAGCGAGAACCCAGCAAUGGGGGACAGCGGCGCAAGGGACAGUAAUGUGUAGAUCAUCUGCCCUCAGGCCCGGGAUAGCUGCGGGAAACUGCAGGUAAUACCGGAUAACAUCUCCGGAUCAAAGGUGUGAUUCCGCCUGAGGAUGAGUCUACAUCCUAUUAGCUAGUUGGCAGGGUAACGGCCUACCAAGGCGAUGAUGGGUAGCGGGUGUGAGAGCACGACCCGCGUCAUUGGGACUGAGACACUGCCCAGACACCUACGGGUGGCUGCAGUCGAGAAUCUUCGGCAAUGGGCGCAAGCCUGACCGAGCGACGCCGCGUGCGGGAUGAAGGCCUUCGGGUUGUAAACCGCUGUCAGAGGGGAUGAAAUGCAGGUGGGUUCUCCCAUCUGUUUGACAUAGCCUCAGAGGAAGGACGGGCUAAGUUCGUGC